GGGAUAAUAGUAUAGUGGUCAGUACUUCUCGUUGUGGUUGCCUCGCAACAUCCGAGAGGACCCAGGUUCGAUUCCUGGUUAUCCCA
RNAcentral lists this transfer RNA (86 nucleotides) under Lasiosphaeria miniovina. It matches the Rfam family "tRNA". From Rfam's summary of the family: Transfer RNA (tRNA) molecules are approximately 80 nucleotides in length. Their secondary structure includes four short double-helical elements and three loops (D, anti-codon, and T loops). Further hydrogen bonds mediate the characteristic L-shaped molecular structure. tRNAs have two regions of fundamental functional importance: the anti-codon, which is responsible for specific mRNA codon recognition, and the 3' end, to which the tRNAs corresponding amino acid is attached (by aminoacyl-tRNA synthetases). tRNAs cope with the degeneracy of the genetic code in two manners: having more than one tRNA (with a specific anti-codon) for a particular amino acid; and 'wobble' base-pairing, i.e. permitting non-standard base-pairing at the 3rd anti-codon position. Lineage: Eukaryota; Fungi; Ascomycota; Sordariomycetes; Sordariales; Lasiosphaeriaceae. The record is from Rfam by way of RNAcentral.